This 377-nucleotide ribosomal RNA is filed under the name uncultured eukaryote. RNAcentral describes it as "partial 18S ribosomal RNA". It matches the Rfam family "Eukaryotic small subunit ribosomal RNA", at positions 592 to 976 of the family's 1831-position model. The record is from RNAcentral.
CAAUAGCGUAUAUUAAAGUUGUUGCAGUUAAAAAGCUCGUAGUUGGAUUUCGGGGCAGCCUGGUUGGUCCGCCGCAAGGCGAGUACUGGUCAGCCGCCCUUCCUCUCGAAAGCCCCGACUGCUCUUCGUUGCAGUGGUCGGGUAGUUCGGGACGUUUACUUUGAAAAAAUUAGAGUGUUCAAGGCAGGCCUACGCCUGAAUACAUUAGCAUGGAAUAAUGGAAGAGGACCUCGGUCCUAUUUUGUUGGUUUCCAGGGCCGAAGUAAUGAUUAAGAGGGACAGUUGGGGGCAUUCGUAUUUAAUUGUCAGAGGUGAAAUUCUCAGAUUUAUGAAAGACGAACAACUGCGAAAGCAUUUGCCAAGGAUGUUUUCAUUAA